Long non-coding RNA from Prionailurus viverrinus (fishing cat), 840 nucleotides. RefSeq lists it as uncharacterized. The record is from RefSeq and is a predicted model, not a curated record. The transcript has 4 exons. Lineage: Eukaryota; Metazoa; Chordata; Mammalia; Carnivora; Felidae.
ACCACGGUGCAGAGGCUGGACCAGGCGUCUGAUUCCAGGGUCACAGCCAGGGCAAGAACAGUGGUCAUAGAAUCUUCCCUUCAAGGCUCCCUCUCCUCUCGGGGCCUUCGCCUUCUGAGAAGAUAAACCUGCCCCCCUCAGGUCACAGGCCCCCCAAGGCGUGUGUAUAGGAACUAUAAAGUGCCUCCCCUCCCCCGCCGCCUCCUCCUCCUCCUCCCCCUCCCCCUCCGGGGAGGCCUCGGGUUCUGAUGAAACAGGACGUGGCACAGGAUGGACAGCAGACCCCGGUUUGAAUCCCGGCUCUGCCACUGACCAGCGCUGUGACCAUCAGCCAGUUACUUCUCUCCAGCCUCACUGAUGCUAAAUGACAGCAGUAAGACAGCUGCCUACCCGGAUGCCCUGGGGACAAAACAGUCAGGUGAGGAAACCGAGGCUCAGAGAGGUCAAGAGACCUGCCCGGGAUCACAAAGAGAGGAAGUGGUGGGACGGGGAUUCGGAGCCAGGCCUGCAGGCCUCCACAGCACAUAUGUUGUGAUUUCUCCUACAGACUUCCUUACCCUGGAUCUCUCUGAACGGCUCAGGGUGGGAGGAACGCUCAGCAUCACUCACUAAGGCUCACAUCUCUCCAGGCGUCACCCAAACCCACCGCCACAGUUACCAAAUUUGCGGAUUCCUGGGCCUCGGUCCAGACCUACAGAAUCAGCAUCUCUGGGGGUGCAGCCCAGGAAUCUGCAUUCUCCAAAGCACCCAGCCUAGUCAGGUCUGGAGAAAGCUGGAGCCCCCAAGCAGCCAGGCAGAAGGAGAGCAGGUGCGAGGAGCAGGCGGGACGGGAGGACACAG